This 483-nucleotide ribosomal RNA is filed under the name uncultured Weissella sp. Its description in RNAcentral is "partial 16S ribosomal RNA". The record is from RNAcentral. Lineage: Bacteria; Bacillati; Bacillota; Bacilli; Lactobacillales; Lactobacillaceae.
CACGUAUUUAGCCGUUCCUUUCUGGCAAGAUACCGUCACACAUUGAACAGUUACUCUCAAUGUCAUUCUUCUCUUACAACAGUGUUUUACGAGCCGAAACCCUUCAUCACACACGCGGCGUUGCUCCAUCAGGCUUUCGCCCAUUGUGGAAGAUUCCCUACUGCUGCCUCCCGUAGGAGUAUGGGCCGUGUCUCAGUCCCAUUGUGGCCGAUCAGUCUCUCAACUCGGCUAUGCAUCAUCGUCUUGGUGAGCCAUUACCCUCACCGAACUAACUAAUGUCACCGCGGGACCAUCUCGUUAGUGAUAGCAGAACCAUCUUUUAAGUAGCAACCGAUGCGGUUGCUAUUGUUAUACGGUAUUAGCAUCUGUUUCCAAAUGUUAUCCCCUGCUAAGAGUAGGUUUCCCACGUGUUACUCACCCGUUCGCCACUCUUUGCAAUGUCCAUCGUCAUAUCUGAGCAAGCUCUUCAAAUCAGUUGAACCA